UACGUAGGUGGCAAGCGUUGUCCGGAUUUACUGGGCGUAAAGAGCGCGCAGGCGGUCGUUCAAGUCGCGUGUGAAAGCCCCCGGCUCAACUGGGGAGGGUCACGCGAUACUGAUCGACUCGAAGGCAGGAGAGGGAAGUGGAAUUCCCGGUGUAGUGGUGAAAUGCGUAGAUAUCGGGAGGAACACCAGUGGCGAAGGCGACUUCCUGGCCUGUUCUUGACGCUGAGGCGCGAAAGCUAGAGGAGCAAACGGG
This 253-nucleotide ribosomal RNA is filed under the name uncultured bacterium. RNAcentral's name for it is "partial 16S ribosomal RNA". It matches the Rfam family "Bacterial small subunit ribosomal RNA", at positions 524 to 776 of the family's 1533-position model. The record is from RNAcentral.